AUACUCACCUGGACGGGGUCAAUAGGUGAUCAAUAAGGCCUAUUGCUUGGGUUGGCGACCUCCAUUGCACUUUGGAGGGGCUGCCGACCUAAGAUCGAUCCAAGUGGACGAUCUAUGUCAUAAUUUUUGGCAACGGGGGCCUGCAUUCUCAAGGCUCCUA
Capsicum annuum is the source of this 160-nucleotide non-coding RNA. The record is from Rfam. NCBI's taxonomy places the organism in Eukaryota, Viridiplantae, Streptophyta, Magnoliopsida, Solanales, Solanaceae.